RNAcentral lists this ribosomal RNA (253 nucleotides) under uncultured prokaryote. Its description in RNAcentral is "partial 16S ribosomal RNA". It matches the Rfam family "Bacterial small subunit ribosomal RNA", at positions 525 to 777 of the family's 1533-position model. The record is from RNAcentral.
ACGGGGGGGGCAAGCGUUGUUCGGAAUUACUGGGCGUAAAGGGCUCGUAGGCGGCCAACUAAGUCAGACGUGAAAUCCCUCGGCUUAACCGGGGAACUGCGUCUGAUACUGGCGGGCUCGAGGCCGGUAGGGGGUAGCGGAAUUCCCGGUGUAGUGGUGGAAUGCGUAGAUAUCGGGAGGAACACCAGUGGCGAAGGCGGCUACCUGGACCGGUUCUGACACUGAGGAGCGAAAGCGUGGGGAGCGAUCCGGA